UACGGAGGGUGCAAGCGUUAUCCGGAAUCACUGGGUUUAAAGGGUGCGUAGGCGGCUUGAUAAGUCAGAGGUGAAAGCUCACGGCUCAACCGUGGAACUGCCUUUGAUACUGUCAGGCUUGAAUUGGGUUGAGGCUGGCGGAAUGUGGCAUGUAGCGGUGAAAUGCUUAGAUAUGCCGUAGAACACCGAUUGCGAAGGCAGCCAGCCAAGCCUUGAUUGACGCUGAGGCACGAAAGCGUGGGGAGCUAACAGG
This 253-nucleotide ribosomal RNA is filed under the name uncultured bacterium. Its description in RNAcentral is "partial 16S ribosomal RNA". It matches the Rfam family "Bacterial small subunit ribosomal RNA", at positions 524 to 776 of the family's 1533-position model. The record is from RNAcentral.